GAAAUGUUACACUCAGUUAAGACGCCUUCGCUGAACGAUAAAGUUCUCAUUUACAUUUAUUACAUAUCUUUGGCUGAACCCAGUGCUGUGUGGGAUAAUAAAGCCGCCAGAAUUUCCACAACCUUCAAAUGAUUCUCCUGCUUUGACGGCUGAUGACAUAAAGCAGGCGCUUGAAAUCGAUGUGAUGAUCAAGGCUGAGUUUGAAAAUGUGCAAGGCUAUGCAUUUUUCAAUAAGGAGUUCAACGCAUGGCAUAAAUUUCUGAAUUGAAGCUGCAAAAUCUGCAAGCAUAUCAAAAGUAUAACGUGGAAAGACUGGCUCUGGAGAAGCGGCUUCUGGAGUAUUGCGAAAAUUUCCAAAAGGCAAUUAGGGGAAAAUGUCAUAGCAUCUUUCGAAAAUUGCGUAUAAAGUGUGUGAAGACCUUUAAGGAGGGAAACAAAGCAAAUGCCGACUUUAUUAAAAAAUUGACGAUUUUCGAAUGUGACCUUAUGGUAAUAGGUAAAUCCGAGGACUAUCAUUUUGGGAAAUAGCGCUGGAAACAGGUGUUGAUCGUUAACCAGACCUUGAUUGGUUGAAUUGGAACCAAAAAAAAACUCAUGAAUAUCUAAAAAACACCUGCUAACUGGUACAAUCGCACAACGCUAUUAGAUAUUAGAUAUCUGUACUAAAUGGUCAGGGAAAAGAAAAGAAUUAAAAAAAAAAAAAAAACAAUAAUAAUUUAAGCACACAAAACGACAAAACAUAAAUCUAAUUUACCAAUUUAUGGAACAAAUUAACGAAUUUAUCUAACAGCUGCUAUUAACAGCAGAGCUGAAGGCCCCAGUAGCUAGUGCUCGCAUAUGAAAUUAAAUUAAUAUUUUAUAUUAGCCUUAAAUUAAUAAAAAUAAAAUAUAUAA
Molecule: long non-coding RNA, 894 nt
Organism: Drosophila obscura
Lineage: Eukaryota; Metazoa; Arthropoda; Insecta; Diptera; Drosophilidae
Exons: 3
Source: RefSeq, a predicted model, not a curated record